RNAcentral lists this ribosomal RNA (467 nucleotides) under uncultured bacterium. RNAcentral's name for it is "partial 16S ribosomal RNA". It matches the Rfam family "Bacterial small subunit ribosomal RNA", at positions 29 to 507 of the family's 1533-position model. The record is from RNAcentral.
ACGAACGCUGGCGGCGUGCUUAACACAUGCAAGUCGAACGGAAAGGCCCUGCUUUUGUGGGGUGCUCGAGUGGCGAACGGGUGAGUAACACGUGAGUAACCUGCCCUUGACUUUGGGAUAACUUCAGGAAACUGGGGCUAAUACCGGAUAGGAGCUCCUGCUGCAUGGUGGGGGUUGGAAAGUUUCGGCGGUUGGGGAUGGACUCGCGGCUUAUCAGCUUGUUGGUGGGGUAGUGGCUUACCAAGGCUUUGACGGGUAGCCGGCCUGAGAGGGUGACCGGCCACAUUGGGACUGAGAUACGGCCCAGACUCCUACUGGAGGCAGGAGUGGGGAAGAUUGCACAAUGGGCGGAAGCCUGAUGCAGCGACGCCGCGUUCGGGAUGACGGCCUUCGGGUUGUAAACCGCGUUCGCCUGUGACGAAGCGUGAGUGACGGUAAUGGGUAAAGAAGCACCGGCUAACUACGUG